UACAGAGGUCUCAAGCGUUGUUCGGAUUCAUUGGGCGUAAAGGGUGCGUAGGCGGCGCCGUAAGUCGGGUGUGAAAUCUCGGGGCUUAACUCCGAAACUGCAUUCGAUACUGCCGUGCUUGAGGACUGGAGAGGAGACUGGAAUUUACGGUGUAGCGGUGAAAUGCGUAGAUAUCGUAAGGAAGACCAGUGGCGAAGGCGGGUCUCUGGACAGUUCCUGACGCUGAGGCACGAAGGUCAGGGGAGCAAACGGG
Molecule: ribosomal RNA, 253 nt
Filed under: uncultured bacterium
Lineage: Bacteria
Description: partial 16S ribosomal RNA
Rfam family: Bacterial small subunit ribosomal RNA
Source: RNAcentral